Molecule: long non-coding RNA, 104 nt
Organism: Myotis davidii
Lineage: Eukaryota; Metazoa; Chordata; Mammalia; Chiroptera; Vespertilionidae
Exons: 3
Source: RefSeq, a predicted model, not a curated record
UGUUCAAGCUGCUUCUGGUUCCCAGCAAAGUAGGCGGCGAUUGCAUUGUGGAAAAGGACCAGCUGGUUGUGCAAUACUUUCACCUUACUUUCUUCUAGAAAGUU